UAUAAAAUUAUUGAUUUUUUUUCCCUCUUAGAUUAAGGAUGUGAUGUAUUUUUUUGCAUUUUUUUUUCUCUGCCUCUAGGUUCAUAAUGAAUUAAAGGCUGUUGAGCACUUCAGAAUUACAAUUUUUAGGAGGUUGAAGUCUCUUCAUUUCUAAAUAAAAGCUACUGUGCUGAAGGGGAAGAAAUCUCCCAAGUCAGAGUGGUUGGUGAAAGCUGACCAGUAACUCGGUCAUGAGAAGCUGAGCACAGCGGAGAGGCACAGAUUCACCCACUAGACAACUGCCAGCAAAGAAAGAACCUGACUUGAUCCUAGAGACAGGAGGAUUCACGGAUAUUUUAAAGAGGUGAUGGUGGCUGCUGUCUAACCAUGGAACCAUGCGGGGAAUGAGGGGCAGGGGAGUUUGGAUCGACUUGCAAAACU
This 420-nucleotide long non-coding RNA is filed under the name Chrysemys picta bellii (western painted turtle). RNAcentral describes it as "lncRNA (ENSCPBG00000011000.1)". The record is from RNAcentral. Lineage: Eukaryota; Metazoa; Chordata; Testudines; Emydidae.